ACUAGUAGCUAUGUCAUCCUGCAGCUCACAAGUGGCAACCCACUGAAGCUCAGCAGGUGUGAGGCUGAUCAGUACCUGGAUGGGAGACCUCCUGGGAAAAACUAAGUUUACUGCCGGAA
RNAcentral lists this ribosomal RNA (119 nucleotides) under Lepisosteus oculatus (spotted gar). The record is from RNAcentral. Lineage: Eukaryota; Metazoa; Chordata; Actinopteri; Semionotiformes; Lepisosteidae.